AGAGUUUGAUCCUGUCUCAGGACGAACGCUGGCGGCGUGCCUAACACAUGCAAGUCGAACGGAGCUUUUACGACAGAACUCUUCGGAGGGACGAUGCAAAAGCUUAGUGGCGGACGGGUGAGUAACGCGUGAGCAACCUGCCUUUCAGAGGGGGACAACAGUUGGAAACGACUGCUAAUACCGCAUAACAUACCGAGUGGGCAUCCACAUGGUAUCAAAGGAGCAAUCCACUGAAAGAUGGGCUCGCGUCCGAUUAGAUAGUUGGUGAGGUAACGGCUCACCAAGUCGACGAUCGGUAGCCGGACUGAGAGGUUGAUCGGCCGCAUUGGGACUGAGACACGGCCCAGACUCCUACGGGAGGCAGCAGUGGGGAAUAUUGCGCAAUGGGGGCAACCCUGACGCAGCAACGCCGCGUGCAGGAAGAAGGUCUUCGGAUUGUAAACUGUUGUCGCAAGGGAAGAAGACAGUGACGGUACCUUGUGAGAAAGUCACGGCUAACUACGUGCCAGCAGCCGCGGUAAUACGUAGGUGACAAGCGUUGUCCGGAUUUACUGGGUGUAAAGGGCGCGUAGGCGGACUGUCAAGUCAGUCGUGAAAUACCGGGGCUUAACCCCGGGGCUGCGAUUGAAACUGACAGCCUUGAGUAUCGGAGAGGAAAGCGGAAUUCCUAGUGUAGCGGUGAAAUGCGUAGAUAUUAGGAGGAACACCAGUGGCGAAGGCGGCUUUCUGGACGACAACUGACGCUGAGGCGCGAAAGUGUGGGGAGCAAACAGGAUUAGAUACCCUGGUAGUCCACACCGUAAACGAUGGAUACUAGGUGUAGGAGGAAUCGACCCCUUCUGUGCCGCAGUUAACACAAUAAGUAUCCCACCUGGGGAGUACGACCGCAAGGUUGAAACUCAAAGGAAUUGACGGGGGCCCGCACAAGCAGUGGAGUAUGUGGUUUAAUUCGAAGCAACGCGAAGAACCUUACCAAAUCUUGACAUCCCUCUGAAAGACUCUUAAUCGAGUGCCUCCUUCGGGACAGAGGAGACAGGUGGUGCAUGGUUGUCGUCAGCUCGUGUCGUGAGAUGUUGGGUUAAGUCCCGCAACGAGCGCAACCCUUAUCCUCAGUAGCCAGCAGUAAGAUGGGCACUCUGUGGAGACUGCCAGGGAUAACCUGGAGGAAGGCGGGGAUGACGUCAAAUCAUCAUGCCCCUUAUGAUUUGGGCUACACACGUGCUACAAUGGCGUAAACAAAGGGAAGCGAUCACGCGAGUGUGAGCAAAUCUCAAAAAUAACGUCUCAGUUCGGAUUGUAGUCUGCAACUCGACUACAUGAAGCUGGAAUCGCUAGUAAUCGCAGGUCAGCAUACUGCGGUGAAAACGUUCCUCGGGUCUUGCACUCACCGCCCGUCA
Molecule: ribosomal RNA, 1397 nt
Filed under: uncultured bacterium
Lineage: Bacteria
Description: bacterial SSU rRNA
Rfam family: Bacterial small subunit ribosomal RNA
Source: RNAcentral